Molecule: ribosomal RNA, 1056 nt
Filed under: Triticum aestivum (bread wheat)
Lineage: Eukaryota; Viridiplantae; Streptophyta; Magnoliopsida; Poales; Poaceae
Description: partial small subunit ribosomal RNA
Source: RNAcentral
AUGGCUUCCAAGGUCGACGUCGCCGAUCGCUUCGACGUCUCCGGGCUGACGCACAUCAAACACAUUAACGUGCGCAUCAGGGGCGUGCUCUCGCGCAACAGAAGCUCAGCACGCAACGCCCCCGACUCCACGCAACGCCCCCAACUCCAUGUCCCGUCAAAAAAGUCCCCCAACUACAUGUCGGCCACCCCAAAUCCCGGCGGCGGCGGCCGCCGCCGGAAGUGGACGAGCGCCACACGGGCGCGCUGGGGCUCUACCUGCACCCGGACUGCCGGACAUCGACCUCAAGAAGCUGUGUUGGCUCAUCCUCAAGGCCAAGCUCGUGCCAUGCCUCUCAAUGGAUCGAUAGAUAGAGCGUCGCGGGUGGAGAGGCGGCCGGCCGGAAGAAGCCGGGCGCCUGAUUCCCCGCGGUUCGUGCUGUUCCUCUCCUCCAUGCCCCCUCUGCAACCUCUCCUCACCAUUCAUGGCCAUCGGAAGGACCGCAGGAGGCAGAGCAGGGCGGCUCGAGCCUGCGAUGAGCUUCUCGACUGGAGCUCGCCGUCGGUGGCGAGUGCGGGUGGCCAGCUCGCGCCGUCUCAACACUCUGCCUCUCCCUCACAUACGACUCGCGUCGUCGCUGCGUUCCCCAUUCUUUUCCCGUGCUUUUCGAUUGGCCCGGCGGUGAGCUGCAGUGCCGCUAGCUCAUCGGCGACGGCUACGACGCCAUCUGUGCCGUCCCUUGGUCCCUUCCCCCCGGCAGCAACCUUCUUGACGAUGAGAGGGCAGCAAAAUGUGAUCAAUCAAUGGAGACAAAGUAUUUGUCCAAUUGUUUGCAAGGGUGCAAUUCUCUCAACACAUGCUCCACAGCACGACGACGGCGAGCAUCCGGAGAAAUCAUCUGCAUACAUCCUAAAGAUUGGUGAUGGAGAUGCUACCCAGUGCAUGAGUGGAUUCAUAGCCAUGGACAUUCCUACUCCCUAUGGACCUAUCCGGAUCCUGGGCGAUAUAUUCAUGGGAGCCUACCAUGCCGUAUUCGACUAUGGCAACAUGAAGGUUGGGUUCGCGAAGGCGGCAUAG